ACGAACGUUAGCGGCGCGCCUAACACAUGCAAGUCGAGCGGGGGGGCAACCUCCAGCGGCGCACGGGUGAGUAACACGUAGGUGACCUGCCUCUAGGUGGGGGACAACCUUCCGAAAGGAGGGCUAAUACCGCAUACGAACGAUAUCGCUAGGUAUCGUGGAAAGGGGGCUCGCAAGGGCUCUCGCCGAGAGAUGGGCCUGCGGCGCAUCAGGUAGUUGGUGAGGUAAUGGCUCACCAAGCCGAAGACGCGUAGCUGGUCUGAGAGGAUGAUCAGCCACACUGGAACUGAGACACGGUCCAGACUCCUACGGGAGGCAGCAGUGGGGAAUCUUGCGCAAUGGGCGAAAGCCUGACGCAGCGACGCCGCGUGAGUGAUGAAGGCCUUCGGGUUGUAAAGCUCUGUGGAGGGGAAAGAAUAAGUCGGAGUUAAUACCUCCGAUGAUGACGGUACCCCUUCAGCAAGCACCGGCUAACUCUGU
Molecule: ribosomal RNA, 480 nt
Filed under: uncultured bacterium
Lineage: Bacteria
Description: bacterial SSU rRNA
Rfam family: Bacterial small subunit ribosomal RNA
Source: RNAcentral